RNAcentral lists this ribosomal RNA (658 nucleotides) under Escherichia coli. RNAcentral's name for it is "partial 23S ribosomal RNA". It matches the Rfam family "Bacterial large subunit ribosomal RNA", at positions 580 to 1239 of the family's 2925-position model. Lineage: Bacteria; Pseudomonadati; Pseudomonadota; Gammaproteobacteria; Enterobacterales; Enterobacteriaceae. The record is from RNAcentral.
CACGCUUCGGCGUGUGACUGCGUACCUUUUGUAUAAUGGGUCAGCGACUUAUAUUCUGUAGCAAGGUUAACCGAAUAGGGGAGCCGAAGGGAAACCGAGUCUUAACUGGGCGUUAAGUUGCAGGGUAUAGACCCGAAACCCGGUGAUCUAGCCAUGGGCAGGUUGAAGGUUGGGUAACACUAACUGGAGGACCGAACCGACUAAUGUUGAAAAAUUAGCGGAUGACUUGUGGCUGGGGGUGAAAGGCCAAUCAAACCGGGAGAUAGCUGGUUCUCCCCGAAAGCUAUUUAGGUAGCGCCUCGUGAAUUCAUCUCCGGGGGUAGAGCACUGUUUCGGCAAGGGGGUCAUCCCGACUUACCAACCCGAUGCAAACUGCGAAUACCGGAGAAUGUUAUCACGGGAGACACACGGCGGGUGCUAACGUCCGUCGUGAAGAGGGAAACAACCCAGACCGCCAGCUAAGGUCCCAAAGUCAUGGUUAAGUGGGAAACGAUGUGGGAAGGCCCAGACAGCCAGGAUGUUGGCUUAGAAGCAGCCAUCAUUUAAAGAAAGCGUAAUAGCUCACUGGUCGAGUCGGCCUGCGCGGAAGAUGUAACGGGGCUAAACCAUGCACCGAAGCUGCGGCAGCGACACUAUGUGUUGUUGGGUAGGGGAGCGU